This 441-nucleotide ribosomal RNA is filed under the name uncultured bacterium. RNAcentral describes it as "partial 16S ribosomal RNA". It matches the Rfam family "Bacterial small subunit ribosomal RNA", at positions 338 to 795 of the family's 1533-position model. The record is from RNAcentral.
CCUACGGGUGGCAGCAGUGGGGGAUAUUGCACAAUGGGGGGAACCCUGAUGCAGCGACGCCGCGUGGGUGAAGGAGUGCUUCGGCAUGUAAAGCCCUAUCGGUGUGGAAGAAGCAAGACGGUACCUGACUAAGAAGCCCCGACUAACUACGUGCCAGCAGCCGCGGUAAUACGUAGGGGGCGAGCGUUAUCCGGAUUCACGGGGUGUAAAGGGAGCGUAGACGGCCAAGCAAGCCAGGGGUGAAAGCCCGGGGCCCAACCCCCGGACUGCCCUUGAAACUGGAUGGCUGGAGUGAGGGAGGGGCAGGCGGAAGUCGUGGUGUAGCGGUGAAAUGCGUAGAUAUCAGGAGGAACACCGGCGGCGAAGGCGGCCUGCUGGACCGCGACUGACGUUGAGGCACGAAAGCGUGGGGAGCGAACAGGAUUAGAUACCCUGGUAGUC